Molecule: unclassified non-coding RNA, 273 nt
Filed under: uncultured fungus
Lineage: Eukaryota; Fungi
Description: partial contains small subunit ribosomal RNA, internal transcribed spacer 1, and 5.8S ribosomal RNA
Rfam family: Eukaryotic small subunit ribosomal RNA (bases 1-73)
Source: RNAcentral
GCAAACUUGGUCAUUUAGAGGAAGUAAAAGUCGUAACAAGGUUUCCGUAGGUGAACCUGCGGAAGGAUCAUUAACAAAGUGUAAUCCUUUAUCCACCUUGUGUGCAACUCAAGAAAAAGCCUGCUCCGGAAAGGUUAUUUUUUAAUCUUUCCGGAGAGGUCAUCACGAUCAAUCAUUUUUUUCUUUUCUGUUUUAUCUAAAAACGCAAAUUUGAAAUGAAAAACAACUUUCAACAACGGAUCUCUUGGCUCUCGCAUCGAUGAAGAACGCAGC